UCAGGCCUAACACAUGCAAGUCGAACGAGAAAGCCGCAAGGUGAGUAAAGUGGCGCACUGGUGAGUAACACGUGGAUAUCUACCUCUUGGUGGGGAAUAACCUAGGGAAACUUGGGCUAAUACCGCAUAAGCUUGAGAGAGGAAAGCCGAAAGGCGCCGAGAGAGGAGUCCGCGGCCGAUUAGCUAGUUGGUAGGGUAAAGGCCUACCAAGGCAAAGAUCGGUAGCCGGCCUGAGAGGGCACACGGCCACACUGGCACUGAAACACGGGCCAGACUCCUACGGGAGGCAGCAGUGGGGAAUCUUGCACAAUGGGGGAAACCCUGAUGCAGCGACGCCGCGUGAGCGAUGAAGCCCUUCGGGGUGUAAAGCUCUUUCGGCAGGAGCGAUAAUGAC
RNAcentral lists this ribosomal RNA (394 nucleotides) under uncultured bacterium. RNAcentral describes it as "bacterial SSU rRNA". It matches the Rfam family "Bacterial small subunit ribosomal RNA", at positions 42 to 455 of the family's 1533-position model. The record is from RNAcentral.